RNAcentral lists this ribosomal RNA (459 nucleotides) under uncultured bacterium. RNAcentral describes it as "partial 16S ribosomal RNA". It matches the Rfam family "Bacterial small subunit ribosomal RNA", at positions 338 to 795 of the family's 1533-position model. The record is from RNAcentral.
CCUACGGGAGGCAGCAGUGAGGAAUAUUGGUCAAUGGCCGCAGGGCUGAACCAGCCAAGUCGCGUGAGGGAUGACGGUCCUAUGGAUUGUAAACCUCUUUUGUCAGGGAGCAAAGGGCGCCACGUGUGGCUCUUUGCGAGUACCUGAAGAAAAAGCAUCGGCUAACUCCGUGCCAGCAGCCGCGGUAAUACGGAGGAUGCGAGCGUUAUCCGGAUUUAUUGGGUUUAAAGGGUGCGCAGGCGGAAUGUCAAGUCAGCGGUAAAAUUUCGGGGCUCAACCCCGUCGUGCCGUUGAAACUGGCGUGCUGGAGUGAGCGAGAAGUAUGCGGAAUGCGUGGUGUAGCGGUGAAAUGCAUAGAUAUCACGCAGAACUCCGAUUGCGAAGGCAGCAUACCGGCGCUCAACUGACGCUCAUGCACGAAAGCGUGGGUAUCGAACAGGAUUAGAUACCCCGGUAGUC